RNAcentral lists this ribosomal RNA (253 nucleotides) under uncultured bacterium. RNAcentral's name for it is "partial 16S ribosomal RNA". It matches the Rfam family "Bacterial small subunit ribosomal RNA", at positions 524 to 776 of the family's 1533-position model. The record is from RNAcentral.
UACGUAGGGCGCAAGCGUUGUCCGGAAUUAUUGGGCGUAAAGAGCUCGUAGGCGGCCUGUUACGUCUGCUGUGAAAUCCCGGGGCUUAACCCCGGGCGUGCAGUGGAUACGGGCAGGCUGGAGGCAGGCAGGGGAGAACGGAAUUCCUGGUGUAGCGGUGAAAUGCGCAGAUAUCAGGAGGAACACCAAUGGCGAAGGCAGCUCGCUGGGACGGUACUGACGCUGAGACGCGAAAGCGUGGGGAGCAAACAGG